ACCCGGUUGGCGCAAUUGGUUAGCGUAUGGGAUUUUUAAUCCUAGGGUUGCGAGUUCGAGUCUCGCAUCGGGUG
RNAcentral lists this transfer RNA (74 nucleotides) under Clonostachys rhizophaga. It matches the Rfam family "tRNA". From Rfam's summary of the family: Transfer RNA (tRNA) molecules are approximately 80 nucleotides in length. Their secondary structure includes four short double-helical elements and three loops (D, anti-codon, and T loops). Lineage: Eukaryota; Fungi; Ascomycota; Sordariomycetes; Hypocreales; Bionectriaceae. The record is from RNAcentral.